This is a non-coding RNA of Sus scrofa (pig), 5731 nucleotides long. The record is from RefSeq and is a predicted model, not a curated record. NCBI's taxonomy places the organism in Eukaryota, Metazoa, Chordata, Mammalia, Artiodactyla, Suidae.
AGAGGCCCGCGCGCCAGCGGGCCUUCCGGGCGCUGCUUCCGUAUUGGCGGGCGGCGGCCAUGGAGGGCGAUCCUCCGCCGGUGGAGGAACGGCGGCGGCUGCGGGAGGAGCUGAGCGAGUUCGUGGAGAGCUGUUGGCGGACGCUGGAGGAGGUGACGACGUCUCUGGGCUGGACCCUGGACCGGCUGGUCCCCGGAGAGGAGGAGGCGGCGGCAGAGGAUGAAGUCGUGAUAUGUCCUUAUGAUUCCAACCAUCACAUGCCUAAGUCGUCUUUGGCAAAGCACAUGGAAUCUUGUAGAUUAAGAAAACUGGGCUAUACCAAAGAAGAAGAGGAUAAAAUGUAUAAUUCUGAUUUUUUCUAUGAGAAUGCAAAGGUACCUUCAGUUACUUUGAAUAAGGACUCACAGUACCAGAUAAUUAAACGAGCUAGAGCUGCAGUUGGAAAAGACGGUGAUUGUUAUAAUCAGAUAAUGGGGGUGAGUAUAAAGAGGAAUUAGGAAGCUGAAUGUACUCCUUAUUUAAAGAUAUGCAGUAUCCUUUUUGCAAAUGAUAUCCUUUUAAAAGUGUCACUCAAGGGUCCAAACUUUCUUUAUCACUGUCACUAUGUUACAGUCUUGAUUUGGAAUUUUAGUUGAAUUUCAAAGAAUUGAAGUUUCACUCUUCACUACACAGAAAUUUAAGGAAAGCAAGGAAAAACUCCAAGAUGUCUUAAGGAGAAAAUUAUACUUUGUUUAAAAAGAACAGGCAAAGGUUUAUGUGAAGCUUGUUGAUAAUACAUUAGUGUUUUCUCUUCUUUGUAUUUUUCUCCCAGCGUGUAUACAUAGCGUGUGUUCAAAUCAAUUAGGUUUAUCAAAGCUAACUCAUUUUUAUGUUGUAAAAUUUAAAUGCUUUAACAUCUGACUGCGUAAAAGGACUUUCCUAGUGUCUACCCGAAUUAGAGUGGGGUGGAUCGAAACGGGGGGAGCCCUUCUUCCCCCCUGAUCCAGGAGCCUCCUGCUAGCAAAGUGGCCGUGUCCUGUCAGCCUGGGACUCAGACUCACCAAAGCUCCUGAAUUUGUAGACAAAUACAAAGUCAUCUCUCUUUUUGUGUCUCAUGCUGAAGUUCCUCGUACGCUCUUACUGGAAUUUUUGUUUUGCCUCUGCCUAGGAUGUCGGUGAGGUUAGACUUACCAAAUAUAAGCAUCUGGAAAGUGCUACUGAUUUUCUCUUGUUCUGUGAGCCUGAGUUACUACUUUAGGGUAGCCUAGCAAACAUUAAAAGGAUUCCUUUAGUAGCUCAUGUUCUUUGUCUGCCCUGGAGAAUAAUGAAGUCUAGAAAGAAUCGUUUUGAAUUGCUUUAUUUACAGUUACAGUAAUUUUUUUACUUGAGAAAAUUUAAAUCUCAAAACAAAUUUUCUUCAGUGUUUAAUACAUCAUAUCAAGGUAUUGUAUUUUCUUUUUUUCAUUCAUGAGCAGAUUUUAGAAAGGGCCAUGCCUGUGGGGGGUGGGGUACUGUCGCUAACUUUUCUCAUUUAAUUUGAUGAAGCCAAUGUGUUUCCUCUUAGGAAAAUUAAAACAGCUUUAGUCUCAGUCUGUCUUUCUCUGCUCUGAGGAAGUUUGAGGUAUCUGCUACUUAAUUGUUUUCUGGUCCCUAGCUCCAAGCUAUUGCACAAGGGGGAUGUAUUUUGAAUAUGGAACAUCUAGUCUGAUGUCUCUCAUAAAAAAUAGUUUUUGUGCAUUUUUCAUAUUUCUGUAUUUUAUUUUUAAAGGGCCUGUAGUGUGUAUUACCUAUUCAAGGCAUUUUCUUCGUGCCUUUACGGGGAAAAGCGUAUAGAUGAAGAAGCUUACUCUCUACUUGGCAGUGCAGGUGGCCUUAUGAGCCGAUUGUCCCGUGGCUGUUCCUGCCUGCCUUCUGGGGAUCGGUCUUAACGCUGCUGGAGGGAAUAGCAGACGUCCCUGCCACGUCCUUUUUGCGGGUGUGGCACUCAGGCUAGAGUUCGGUGCUGACACCGUCACUCACACUGAUGGUUGUGGGUGUUUGGAGAUGACCGUGAAAACCAGUUGCCGGUGGUGGUGCUCGUUAGUACGGCGCAUGUUGGAAGGUCGUAGCGUAGAUCUUCACACCGCAGAGCUUCAUGUGUUGUUUAUUCUUGUGAUUUUAUUUUUACUUUAGGGGUUUAUUCUUCAUUGCCUGUUGAAGUUCCUCUGAAUCACAAACGGUUCGUUUGUGAUCUAACCCAAGCCGAUCGUCUUGCCCUCUACGACUUCGUGGUCGAGGAGACAAAGAAAAGGCGCUCCGAUUCUCAAAGCAUUGAAAAUGACAGCGACCUCUUUGUGGACCUGGCCGCCAAAGUCAAUCAAGAUAAUAGUCGAAAAAGUCCAAAAUCUUACCUUGAGAUCCUGGCGGAAGUGCGAGAUUAUAAAAGAAGACGCCAGUCCUAUAGAGCCAAGAACGUUCACAUAACCAAGAAGUCGUAUACUGAGGUGAUUCGGGACGUGAUCAGCGUGCACAUGGAGGAGCUGGCCGGCCACUGGCAGGAGGAGCAGCAGCGGGCGGAGGACGCCGCCGAGAAGGCCGAGGAGCGGCGCUCGGCGUCGGCAGACUCGCGGCAGUCGGGGGGCAGCUGCCUGGAUGCUGAGGGCGCCCGGCGCAGGAGGGCCCGGAGCAGGAGCCCGCACAAGCGGAGGAGAAACAAGGACAAGGAGAAGGACGGGGACUCGAGGCGGAGGAAGGAGAGGGACGGAGAAAGACAUCAUAGUCAUAAAAGAAGAAAACAGAAAAUGUAACGGAAGUAUUUGUGCUUGUAUUAAUUAUGCUUGUGCCACGGUAACCAAUAUGCUGAUAAUUUUAUUAUGAUUGCUUUGAGCAGGAGAAUGUGCUUAUAUGAACUGUUUAGUGCUGAGGUCAUUAUUUUUUCAGUAAAUACAUCGCAAACUGUAAAUACAUGAUCAUGCCCUAAAACUUUGUUUUUCCUUAUGUUUUAAUAGGUGAUUGCCUCCUACUACUGAUUUUGUUUCAUUAUUUUUGAUUAUUUAUAUAUCAGAAAAUUCUUUUUUUUUGGUCUUUUGUCUUUUUAGGGCCGCACCGACGGCAUAUGUAAGUUCCCUGGCUAGGGGUCUAAUCGGAGCUGUUGCUGCCGGCCUAUACCACACCACAGCCACGCACGAUCCAAGCUGUGUCUUUGACCUACACCACAGCUCACGGCAAUGCCGGAUCCUUAACCCACUGAGCGAAGCCAGGUAUUGAACCUGCAACCUCAUGGUUCCUAGUUGGUUUCGUUUCUGCUGCGCCUUGACGGGAACUCCCAGAAAAUUCUUUAAUUGAAGUCAAUACUUAAAACUAUGUAAAUAAUACGUAAAUGCGUUUUCAUUGUAAAAAAUGAAACCUUUCACUGAUAAGAUCAGGACCCCUCGGAGCACCCUUGGUGCUCCCUGUGGCCACCCCAGGUGUCCCUCCUACCUAGCACCCCACUGGUGACCUGUCGUAGGGAAAAAUAACCUAGUUAUCUGUCACAGGGGGAAAGGCCUGGCUAAAUAAAAUGUGGUGUAGUAUAUGAUAGACUGCUUUAUUGGAUUUAAAGAAAUAAACUUUAUAUAACAUGGAUGGAUCUCAGAAAUAUGCUAAAUGAAAAUAGCAAGUUUCAGAAACAUCCGUCCAAGUCGCAUCUCUGCCCCAAACAAUACGUCUUCCGUGGCUGUAGCUGUGUGUGAAGAUGCUGGCAAAGGUUCAGAGGCGCUCUUCCCAAGCUACAGAUGGAGAGAUGAAGGGUGGGGGCCAAGACUGGGAGGGCGUCAGAAGAGCUUUCCCUUAAUCCGCAGUAUAUUAAUUUUUAAAACGUAAGGCGAUGUAUGUGUCACUUGUUAAUUAAAAAUAUGUUGUUGUUUUUUAUACGUCACUUUUAUUGAGAUGCUGUUUAUAUACAAUAAAAUGGUUUCAUCGUCAUCGUUGUCAUCAUUAUUUUUGGCUGUGCCACAGCAUGUGGACGUCGUCGUGCCCCGUCCUCCCCCCGACCCCCGGCCACACAGUGACGAUGCCAGGUCCUUAGCCUGCUCAGCCACUAGGGAGCUCCAGAAUUUGACUUCUUUAGAGGAGAAGUAGAACUUGGACCCAAGGAGACAAAAUGAUAGUUUUAUUAAAUUACGACCUUUAGCAAGAGUAGAUAUAUUUCCCAUAACUUUUUUGCCAGGUUAGAAUGUGGCUGUUUACACAAGGCAGGUGGUUUUGUGGGGUUCAUGAGAAAAGUCUCUGCCUCUUUGGAGACUUCAUUUUAUUAGAGGUGGUCACUGAGAUUUUUAGGCAGGCUGUAGAGAGAGGGGAGUCUGAGCGGGGUAGGGCCAUAUGGGACUCUGUAUCUUCCUCUCAGUUUUGCUGUGAACCUAAAACUGUUCCAAAAAAAGGGGGAAAUGAAGUCUAAAAAAUAGUAAAAGUGGCUUUGUUUGGCAGAGAAAAAUUAAGAUUUGGAAUUUUCAAAACAUUCUCGGAGGUCAGAGAUUUCAGGGUAGUAUGUAAACAUCCAUGGAACAAUUUGCUAGGUUUUCCUGACUUCUUUUGGGAAACUGGUGAGUUGGCUUCUCUCCUGAACGGAACGGCCGCCCCUGCCUGGCCCUUCGGUCUCCGCGGAGACAGGUGACCAAGACCGUGCCCGGGAGCCUCUGCCUGGUGUGCGUGAGGAAAGGGGGUUGACGGAAGCAGAGUCCGACGCUUCCCCCCGAACAGGACAGACAAGCCUGCCGUGGAGGUGGUGGCGGCUCCUGGGAGGGCUGUGGAUGUGUCACCCACGGCUCUUUUACCCGGGAGCUGCAGUGACAAGGUCAGAACUUCGCGUGUCCUCUCGGUUUGGCUAAGAUUCUCCAGCUGUGGGAAUGUUCCGAGGGCCAUGUUGGAGCAACUCGGAGACACGGGUCUAGACUGCUUCCCACUCACCAGGCAUUUGCGUGGGGUCUUAGGUCAGUUCCCUGGAGGCCCAGGACGUUGCGGGGAGCAUCUGUGAAGGUGGGAGGGAAGCAGGACAGGCCUUCGCGGACCCUGGGGGGGUGGGGAUUCUGGAACUGGGAGGUCUUGCUUGAUACCCCCACACUGGCUGUUCAAUGGAUGCGAGCUCCCCUCCACCUCCGUGGGCUCUAACCUAGGGCAGGGGUGGCCCUGUGACCAAGGGCAGUUGGCUGCAGUGUCUCAGAGGGAAGCUGGCGUCAGGCACCCUCUUGGGGAAAAGCACCCAACUCUGAAGGGAGCCCUGGGUGGCACAGCGCAGGGAGCACCACGGUCUGUAAUCUCAUCCCCUCGCCAGCCUGUGGGCGGGGCCAGCUUGUCCAUCCACCCCAACGGGAGAGAUUGCGCAGCUCCGCCAGAUCAGCUGCAAAGGAUUCGGGUCUAAUCCCACACCAAGACCCAGCCCCUAGGCACCGAGCCUCACUGCCAGCACCUGGGUGGUGGGUGCCGCUCCGGCAACCUGUGGUUUCCAGCCAUAGUAAGGAUUUUUCUAUUGGAAUGAAGAAAAAAAAAAAACCAAUUCGUGCAGCUGAUGAUGACACCGACACCGGGACCGAGCCUGGAAGAGCAAAACUUGAUUCAAUGGCCGAGGAAUUGGAGGAGCAGGAACUUGGUUCACAAAUGGACAUCUCACCCCAGUUCAGCUGGAGAUUUGUGGUCAUAAAGGAAAACGAGAAACAGGAUCCUAUCAUAAUUGUCGGCCACGACUCUUAUGUGUUUUUGUUGGCAUUUAAUUAAAGUUGAGUGACUCAGCUGAAUGUAA